RNAcentral lists this transfer RNA (83 nucleotides) under Lactarius zonarius. RNAcentral describes it as "tRNA-Tyr". It matches the Rfam family "tRNA". From Rfam's summary of the family: Transfer RNA (tRNA) molecules are approximately 80 nucleotides in length. Their secondary structure includes four short double-helical elements and three loops (D, anti-codon, and T loops). The record is from RNAcentral. Lineage: Eukaryota; Fungi; Basidiomycota; Agaricomycetes; Russulales; Russulaceae.
GGGCAGGUGAUCCGAUUGGUAAUGGUGAUUCUCUGUAAAAGAAUUGGUUAGCUCCGUAAAAGGUUCGAUUCCUUUACUGCUCA